UUAGCUAAGCAGUUUAUUGAGCGAUUGAACUUUGAAUUGAAGAGUUUGAUCAUGGCUCAGAUUGAACGCUGGCGGCAGGCUUAACACAUGCAAGUCGAACGGUAGCAGGAAGAAAGCUUGCUUUCUUUGCUGACGAGUGGCGGACGGGUGAGUAAUGCUUGGGAAUCUGGCUUAUGGAGGGGGAUAACUGUGGGAAACUGCAGCUAAUACCGCGUAUUCUCUGAGGAGAAAAAGGUGGGCCCUUAGGGCCACCUGCCAUAAGAUGAGCCCAAGUGGGAUUAGGUAGUUGGUGGGGUAAAGGCCUACCAAGCCUGCGAUCUCUAGCUGGUCUGAGAGGAUGACCAGCCACACUGGAACUGAGACACGGUCCAGACUCCUACGGGAGGCAGCAGUGGGGAAUAUUGCGCAAUGGGGGGAACCCUGACGCAGCCAUGCCGCGUGAAUGAAGAAGGCCUUCGGGUUGUAAAGUUCUUUCGGUAAUGAGGAAGGGAUGUUGUUAAAUAGAUAGCAUCAUUGACGUUAAUUACAGAAGAAGCACCGGCUAACUCCGUGCCAGCAGCCGCGGUAAUACGGAGGGUGCGAGCGUUAAUCGGAAUAACUGGGCGUAAAGGGCACGCAGGCGGACUUUUAAGUGAGAUGUGAAAUCCCCGAGCUUAACUUGGGAACUGCAUUUCAGACUGGGAGUCUAGAGUACUUUAGGGAGGGGUAGAAUUCCACGUGUAGCGGUGAAAUGCGUAGAGAUGUGGAGGAAUACCGAAGGCGAAGGCAGCCCCUUGGGAAUGUACUGACGCUCAUGUGCGAAAGCGUGGGGAGCAAACAGGAUUAGAUACCCUGGUAGUCCACGCUGUAAACGCUGUCGAUUUGGGGAUUGGGCUAUAUGCCUGGUGCCCGAAGCUAACGUGAUAAAUCGACCGCCUGGGGAGUACGGCCGCAAGGUUAAAACUCAAAUGAAUUGACGGGGGCCCGCACAAGCGGUGGAGCAUGUGGUUUAAUUCGAUGCAACGCGAAGAACCUUACCUACUCUUGACAUCCUAAGAAGAGCUCAGAGAUGAGCUUGUGCCUUCGGGAACUUAGAGACAGGUGCUGCAUGGCUGUCGUCAGCUCGUGUUGUGAAAUGUUGGGUUAAGUCCCGCAACGAGCGCAACCCUUA
RNAcentral lists this ribosomal RNA (1150 nucleotides) under Pasteurella multocida subsp. multocida. Its description in RNAcentral is "bacterial SSU rRNA". It matches the Rfam family "Bacterial small subunit ribosomal RNA", at positions 1 to 1107 of the family's 1533-position model. The record is from RNAcentral. Lineage: Bacteria; Pseudomonadati; Pseudomonadota; Gammaproteobacteria; Pasteurellales; Pasteurellaceae.